GACUCGGCUCGGCCCGAGGGGCGGGCGCAGGGGCGGGCCGCCAGAUUCCGGGGCAGGAAGCACGCCCGGCCCGGACUCCCCACCCCUUUCCUCCCGCAUCGGGCAGCCCGCCUCCAUCGGGUCAACCUGGGCCGGCCCUCGCCCGCUGGAGGGGCACCUGGCUUCUUCCUGACACUGUCCUUCUGGGACCUCCGGUGACUGCCUACCAACGCGACCAACACAUCUGUUUGUGGCAGGCCCACCCACCUUGGGACGCUGCGGAAGGUUCCUUUCCUCCAGGGCUCUCUCUCCAGAGGGUGGUGGGAGGGUUGGGCGGUAGGUAGCACGUGUGUGCUCCGGGCUGGUCUGGGGUAGCAGGGAGGUCUCAGCCCCAGGGAGCGGCUGGGCCAGAAAGCCUUCCCGACCAGCCCGCGAACUUGGCUGAGCCCUGGCAUUAGGAAUUGCUAAGAGGACUAGUGGCCCGGGGCAGGAACAGUGAAUCACUGGUUAAACUGGCCCUGAAGGUAUUGAAAGGAAAAAAAGGGAAGUCAGGACAACAGCGGCUGAAUGUAGUAGGGCUUGAAGGCCAACCCGGGCAGUUUGGUUUUAUUCUGGAAGCAGAGGGGAAACAGUGAAGAUUCCUGCGGUGGCUACAAUCAGGCCUGUAUGAUCAAAUAUUUAUUGAGCACCUACCAUGUGCACGCCUGUGUACGUGCUAGUGACACAUGGGUGAAGGAGGCAGAUGCUGGAGUCCGGGCGCGGGGUUUACCGGCUAGCUGUCGCGUCACUCUGGCAGCCAGGGCGAUGAGGUUUUUGAGGCUGACCAGGUGAGAGCUAACAGCCUGACCUAAGGAGCUUUGGAAACCGAUAGGAUGGGAGUGGCAGACACUGGAGGUGUCCCCAAGGCCGGUGGACUGACUCUCCAUACUUAGCUGUCUACCCAGCUUCCUGCACUGCGCUCCCGGCCCCACACGCUCACCCACUAGACUAAACUGGGGUGAGGAUGAAGUUUGAGCGGAAUGAGAUGGGCAGCCCAGCGGCUCCUGGAGCGGUGCUUUGCAUACAGUGACCCAAUGACUGUUUGUCGGACCAGACGGUGUAAAUGCGGACGGAAAGAGGAUUCAGAAGAGACAGUGGUUUGGGAGAAAUAACAUGUUCAUAAAUGGUGGGAUGGAGCCGUGUAGGAGUUUCGUCUUAGAGGUAAGUGGUCAGAGCCAAACUAGAGCUAUGAUCCAGAAAGGAAAUGGCAGGAGAAUUCAAAAGGCUCAAAUUUCUUAGCAUCAUAACACUAAGGCCUCCCGGAUCUGGCCCCAGCCUCCCAUUCUACCUGUUAUUCUCCUGUGCUAGGCUUUAACUGUUCCCCAAGGUUGUCUGCCUCUUUCACACACUCCCACCCCUCCAAGCUUAGUCCCCUGGCUCCAUACAGGGUACACACAGCCCUCCCAGGUAGUAAGCACUCCUCCCCUGCCAGCACCUGCAAUCCUACAGCGAUGCAAUUAUCGCAACCUCCCCGACUCUUAAGUUCCUCUCAGCCAGAGGCACGUGUUAGUCGUCUCUGAAUCUCUUGCACCUGGCCCAGUGGCUGGCUCAUUUGAUCCUUCCUUAUGUUUGUGGAGUGAAUAUCAGAAUAAAUGAGACUGCGAGAAAGGCAAGAGGGCGAGGGACCCAGAGUCAGGCGGGGAGGAUGGUGAGAAUUCAGAAGGCUUUCUACUUCCCGGGGGGUGGCAGUCUCCCUUGAGUCCAUAAUUAUUUGUUGAAAGCCUAAUGUGUUCCAGGUAUACUUUGGGGUCACCCCUGACUCCACAGGCCUGAGUUUACAUCUUCCAGCGAGUACCUGCGUGACCUCCUGCAAGUUGCCGAACCUCUAUAAAACGGGAACAAUGGCGCCUCCCUCGUGGUCGCGAAGAGAGGAGGAGCUGGCCCACGUACAGCGCUCGGCCCUGCUUCAGACAGAGUGGGAGGCAACCACGACGUCAAGAACACACCACUGUCGAUAACCACCCUGGCUGCACACAAUCACCUGGGGAGCUUUUAAAAUAUCAAUGUCUGGCUCUCACCUUCAGAUUGAUUCUAACGGCUGUUUUUAACGGGAAGAGGUUUGGGGGCCCUUCUCCAUCCUCAUUCCCCAGAAGAUAAACCACUGACGUACUUUCUGCAAGGGUUCAGUCUGAAAACCACCAUCCAUGUGAACGCAAACAACUCCAUUCCCAUGAUUAUCUGAGGAUUUACAUGUUUCAGCGGAAAAAUUAAAAGGAACUGGGAUCACAGAAGCAGGAAUGGGAAUGAGGAACGAAUGGACAAAGGCGUGCCUGUGUGUGUAUGAGCAGGUGGGCUAACAGCGGAGCCGCGGAGGGGACAGCAUGGGAGACGCGAGGACUCAGCUAAAAACGAUAGGAACUGAGGGUCUAGGCUAACGGACACCAGGAGUGGCAGGUAGAAAUGGAAGUAGUCUCCCGGGGGCUGCGUUAGGCUUCUCCCUUUCCCAUCCUGUAAAGGACAAAGGACACUUUCUACAUAGUCGCCAGGCAGAGCUGGGGGGAGGGCUGAGUCUGUGAGGACAGGGGAGUGAAGAGAGGGGAGGGGUUGUCAGUUAAUCAUUCUGCAUAUCCUCGGGCCUUCACCAGCCAGCUAGUGUCCUCCACCUAGGGCUGGGGCCUCCGCUGAAGCAACCGGAGCUGGAAAGACAUCCAGCUGACAGAAGGGAGAGACUGCAUGCCAACAUUCAUCACAUCUGUCUGUGGGUAGCCAAUGCCUACACGCUGCGGGUAGCAUUCAGUGUUCACUGAACAGAACUAAAGAAACUCAGGUAGGGGAAGAGGGCUGUGAUAGAACCUGCAGAAAAAGCUGUGGAGAGAGAAAAGGGGAGACUUUUGGUUCAGGGACAAACCAGGGGAGGUGAUCAAGAUGAAGGAAAGAGAGUUAGCCAGAUCUGGAAGAUGAGUUGAGAAAGGCCAAAAGGGGAAGAGAGAAGCGCGGCUUAUUAUUCAAUACUUCCUCCGGCAAGAGUGUGGCCCUAAGAGCUGCUUUCCAUGGUUCAUAUGGUUCACUCCUGUAACUGCUAUUAUCGCCCCUUCAUGGACGGAAAGCACUGAAUCAGAAAGGGUGAUGGAUUUUUCUCAAGGUCACAUGGCAAGUUCCAGGCUGAGGAAAAGUGGGGACAAAGGGAUGGAAGGAGGGAAGCACAGCCCAGGUGCAGGGAAUUGCUACACCUGAUUCUGCUUGGCCAAACUACACGCUGCAUGAGAGGCCUUCGCAGGCAAGAAGGUAAACAAGUUGGUUGGUCCCAAGUCAUGAAGUGGUUUGAAUGAAAGAAUGAGGAGUUUUGUUUGUUUUGGGGCAUCCCUAAGAAUUUUUAAGAAAGGGGUUAGGUAUGAUCCCCCUUGUUCUUCAGAAGGACAAACCUGGGGACAAUAUGGUAUCCCACCAGGAGGAACGGAGAGGAAGGGGAGCCAGCUGGGAGACCAGCUGCAAUGCACAGGUGUGACACACAGAAGGCCUGAGAGGAUAGAGCAGAGAGAGGACACAGAAUUGACAGGAAGGUGGUCAUGCUGGAUAACUCCGGUGGAGCAGAAUGGAGGAAAUGAAUGCAUCUGGGGACAUCUGGAAUGUGAAGUAAGAUAGCACAUUCAGCAGGCAAUCUUAAACACAGUUCUGUAAGUUUAGAAGAACGGACAGGGCUCGAGGAAAAAGGCAAGGAUUCUCUGAAAUCACAUAAAGUGGAGUGUGAGAGCUCCAACACUUUCCCAGCCCCUUGCUUUCAUUUCCUUUAAGGAAUUCCUGCCCCCACUCCAUUGGCCUGUUAAUCAUGGUUGUUCUCCCUGCUUCCCCCAAUCCGAGCUCCUAACAGCCCAGAAUCCAAGCAAGAAUCAGAGUUCCUGCACGAGAUGAGUCCUACUGCUACAGAGUGCAGAAAUAGAGACGGAGAGCCUCAGACAUCCGAGCCCCUGAGCCCACCUGUAGCCAAUCACCACUCAACCCUCCAUCCGAAUAACCCAAAUACAAUCGGGUUCCCCUUUCUUUGUUUUUGGUUAGGCUAGUUUAAUUGUAAUGUGCUAUAAUCAAAACAGUCUAAUAUACCACAAUGCAAUAAAAAAUGAAAUUGCUCAGGAGAGAGUAGGGGAAGAGAAUAGUAGUUAGCAUUUGAGCGCUGACUAUACCUCAAGGGCCUUUUAUGCCCUUCUAAGAAGUCUGGACUUUAGGGGCGCCUGGGUGGGUCCGUCAGUUAAAUGUCUGCCUUCGGCUCAGGUCAUGAUCCUGGGGUCCUGGGAUCAAGUCCCCACAUCGGGCUCCUUGCUCAGCGGGAAGCCUGCUUCUCCCUCUGCCUGCCACUUCCCCCGCUUGUUCUCUUUCUCGCUGUCAAAUAAACAAACUCUUAAAAAAUAAAUUUUUUUAAAAGUUUGGACUUCACCCUGUAGAAAAUUAUGAGCUACUUACAGGUUUCACUUUAAUUUUAAAUACGUUCAGUUGAAGGUACCCUUUUGAGGUCUGGGCUAUAAUCCCAUUUCACAAAGGUGGAAACAGGUUCUUGGAAGUGAGGUAACUUGCCUCAGGCCACACAAUGGAUGUGUCCAGAUGAGGUAUAAUUGAAGAACGGUUGAGUAUACAGGGAAGGAGGAGGUAAAGAUGUGACAGGAGUAGGUGACACUGGAAGGAUGUUAUUCACUAGAUGAACAAGGGGCCUGGAAGCAGGAAAAAGAGAGGUAGACAGUCCAACGAGAGGGCAGAGGCCCUGUCAGCAGUGGAGGUGGGACACAGCGCCCGACUCCCAGGUCCUGGCUCCCGCUGAGAGUACUUCUGUCUUGGUGGCAAGAACCACAGAGCUGCCGUGACACAACAAGGCCUAUGGGACAGAUGGUGAGCGUGAAAAGAGGCAAGCACACGCCCCGAUCUGUGAUGCCCGGGGAACUACAACAGCAGCCCGUGAAGACCUGAGCCCAGACCUGGUAAUCACGGAUGAACGAGGAGGGAACUCAUCACAGCUGCACAGAGAGAUCUGUGUGUGGUGUAAGGCCCCCUUUAGGGACAGAACUGUAGGCUGACUGUGGAACUGAGCCUUCAACUGGUUUGGACAGAAGAUACAGUUUAGGAGGGAGGACAAAGAACAUUUCAGGUGAGGGAGCUUGUCAUUUGGCCUCAAAGCAAAAUGACACAAUUUAAGAGACCAAAGUAGGCUUUUAUGGAACAGUAUGGGCAUCAACUAAGUGGGAGGAAAAAAAAUUCACAGAACUAGAUUCAAAAAUGACGUAUCACACCAGGUAAAAAAUGCUCUGGGGCGCCUGGGUGGCACAGCGGUUAAGCGUCUGCCUUCAGCUCAGGGCGUGAUCCCGGCGUUAUGGGAUCGAGCCCCACAUCAGGCUCCUCCGCUAUGAGCCUGCUUCUUCCUCUCCCACUCCCCCUGCUUGUGUUCCCUCUCUCGCUUGCUGUCUCUAUCUCUGUCGAAUAAAUAAAUAAAAUCUUUAAAAAAAAAAAAAUGCUCUGCCUUCGGUUCUGAAGGGACACCGUGGGGGAUGAGAUGUGCGCAAAGGAUCUCUCAGAAGGCUGAACUCCUGAGGCUAAGCGUGACGUCAGCAUAGACAAGGUGCAGAGGGACUCCUAAAGGGACUGAUCGAUCAUUGGUUUAAGCAACAGCAGAGUUCUAGGCACAAUCCUGAGGAUAGAGAAUAUUUAUCAAGCUUUUAUUGUUAGGCACUAUUCUGAGCGCUUCAUUGUGUAUUAAUCUAUUUAAACAUCAGAGCAACCCUACAAUAUAGCCACUAGUAUCAUCAUCCCCAGGAAUAAGGAAACUGAGGCACAGAGGUAAAUUAACUUUCCUGAGGGGCGCCUCGGUGGCAUAGCGGUUAAGC
This is a long non-coding RNA of Ailuropoda melanoleuca (giant panda), 5822 nucleotides long. RefSeq lists it as uncharacterized. The record is from RefSeq and is a predicted model, not a curated record. Lineage: Eukaryota; Metazoa; Chordata; Mammalia; Carnivora; Ursidae. The transcript has 3 exons.